This 422-nucleotide ribosomal RNA is filed under the name uncultured bacterium. RNAcentral describes it as "bacterial SSU rRNA". It matches the Rfam family "Bacterial small subunit ribosomal RNA", at positions 355 to 774 of the family's 1533-position model. The record is from RNAcentral.
UGAGGAAUAUUGGGCAAUGCCCGCAAGGGUGACCCAGCAACGCCGCGUGGAGGAUGAAUGUCGUAAGAUUGUAAACUCCUGUUAGAGGGGAAGAAUAGUACCGGUUGGACCGGUAUAUGACUGUACCCUCAGAGAAAGCCCCGGCUAACUACGUGCCAGCAGCCGCGGUAAUACGUAGGGGGCAAGCGUUGUCCGGAUUUACUGGGUGUAAAGGGCGCGCAGGCGGGAUAAAAAGUCAGUGGUGAAAUCCUACAGCUUAACUGUAGAACUGCCUUUGAUACUUUUAUUCUUGAGUUCGGGAGAGAGAGACGGAAUUUCAGGUGUAGUGGUGAAAUACGUAGAUAUCUGGAAGAACACCAGUUGCGAAGGCGGUCUCUUGGUCCGACACUGACGCUGAGGCGCGAAAGCGUGGGGAGCAAACA